RNAcentral lists this ribosomal RNA (119 nucleotides) under Mammaliicoccus sciuri. RNAcentral's name for it is "Staphylococcus sciuri partial 16S ribosomal RNA". It matches the Rfam family "Bacterial small subunit ribosomal RNA", at positions 1 to 114 of the family's 1533-position model. Lineage: Bacteria; Bacillati; Bacillota; Bacilli; Caryophanales; Staphylococcaceae. The record is from RNAcentral.
UUUAUGGAGAGUUUGAUCCUGGCUCAGGAUGAACGCUGGCGGCGUGCCUAAUACAUGCAAGUCGAGCGAACAGAUGAAAAGCUUGCUUCUCUGAUGUUAGCGGCGGACGGGUGAGUAAC